CAAGGGAAGACCUAGUGGCGAACGGGUGCGUAACACGUGAGGAACUUGUCCCGGUCUCUGGGAUAACAGUUGGAACGACUGCUAAUACCGGAUGACGUCGGAAUCUGCAUGGGAUACUGACGAAAGGGUUACUGGAUCGGGAGAGCCUCGCGGCCUAUCAGCUUGUUGGUGAGGUAACGGCUCACCAAGGCAUCGACGGGUAGCUGGUCUGAGAGGAUGAUCAGCCACACUGGGACUGAGACACGGCCCAGACUCCUACGGGAGGCAGCAGUGGGGAAUCUUGCGCAAUGGGCGAAAGCCUGACGCAGCAACGCCGCGUGCGGGAAGAAGGCCCUCGGGUUGUAAACCGCUUUCAGUAGGAACGAAAAUGACGGUACCUGCAGAAGAAGGUGCGGCCAACUACGUG
RNAcentral lists this ribosomal RNA (406 nucleotides) under uncultured bacterium. RNAcentral's name for it is "bacterial SSU rRNA". It matches the Rfam family "Bacterial small subunit ribosomal RNA", at positions 81 to 507 of the family's 1533-position model. The record is from RNAcentral.